Molecule: long non-coding RNA, 486 nt
Filed under: Rattus norvegicus (Norway rat)
Lineage: Eukaryota; Metazoa; Chordata; Mammalia; Rodentia; Muridae
Description: long non-coding RNA NONRATT005463
Source: RNAcentral
GAUUUUCAAAAAUUAUUGGGAGACAUUCAGUAGGUUUGACUUUAUUUGUCUUUAACCAAUAAACAAUUGCAACCACUAUAUGACCUUUUGCCAGGCGAUACUGACUUGAAUUCUCCCAGAUAUCUUAGUGACGCUGCCAGAGCAGCUUUGAAUUUGGUGGAGCAGGGUAUUCAAGUUGCUGCCUUGAAAUGCCGAGAUGAGUCACAGCCUAUUGUGCUGUGUAUCUUGCCAACAGAAGCACAGCCAAUGGGGGUCUUAUGGCAGGGAGCUCCCUUGCUCUGGAUACAUCCAAAGAUAUCCCCAGCCAAAACACUUGUUCAUUAUCCCACCUCAGUGGCUCAGUUAGCCUUGCUUGGCAUUCAGCAAUGUAUACAGUACUUUGGCAUCCCACCAAAGGAUUCGAUAGUUCCCUAUAAUGUAAAGCAGCUGGAAGUGUUGUCAGCCUCAAUAAACGAUUGGGCUAUUGUGAGGUGCAGUUUUCAGGGC